ACAAGCGUCAGUAGAAGCAGGCGGUAAUAAAGUGCAAUUAUUUCUUUCUUUACACGUUACUUAAUAAAUAUAAUUUUUUUUCUACUCGCUUGGUUGCAUUAUUAUUAUUCAUCGAUUCCAAAUACGUCCCAAACUUAUUAUACAGUGUUAAAAAAUAAUAUAACAUUCAAUUACAAAAAAAAAAGAAGAUUAGUAAUUACAUUUACUUUGUAACCGACAAAAGUUUCAAAAAUGACGAUCGGAAAGAACAAUAAAAUGCUUCAGCAUAUUAACUAUAGGGUUAGAAUCAUUCUUCAAGAUUCUCGAACCUUUAUAGGAACAUUUAAGGCAUUUGAUAAGCAUAUGAAUCUUAUUCUUGGAGAUUGUGAAGAAUUUCGUAAAAUUAAACCGAAAAAUACGAAACAACCUGAAACUGAACAAAAACGCGUAUUAGGUUUUGUACUAUUGAGAGGAGAAAAUAUUGUUUCGCUUACCGUAGAAGGUCCUCCACCUCCGGAAGAAGGAUUGCCUAGAGUUCCUAUACCAGGGGCUGCACCAGGUCCUGGUAUAGGACGACCUGCUGGUCGUGGCAUGCCAGCGAGUAUUGCAGGAGUACCUGCAGGUUUACAAGGACCAGUUAGAGGCAUUGGUGGUCCAUCGCAACAAAUAAUGACACCUGGUGGUAGAGGUCAAGUUUCAGCACCACCGCAAAUGCAUCCAGGUGGUCCUCCACGUAUGCCUGUUAGUGGACCACCACCUGGUAUGAUGGGACCACCACCAGGAAUGAUGGGAAUGCCACCUGGAAUGCCACCAAUGGGAAGAGGCGGCCCACCAAUGGGACCACCAGGAAUGCGUGGCCCACCACCUGCAUAUUGAUCUUAUGAUAUUUGAGGAUGGACAUUCCAGAGUGCUACAAAUGUUUCAGGAAGCACUGCUGCUAUAGUUUUAUGCAUGGCAUAUGGCAGGUUUUUACAACCAAAAUUUAAUAUAAGAUGUACUAUUAAGGUCACACACACACACACAUAAGAAUUCAUUUGAAUAUAGUUUAUGUGAAUAUGAAAUAUAUAUAUAUAUAUGGUUACUUUUAAAAACGUGUCUAUGUUCAUGUGUGCUCUUAGAUCAUUAUUUAUCAACUAUUAUAUAUAAAAUAAUCACAACCAAUUUGUUUUUCUAAUAAUAAUAAUAAUAAUAAUAAUAGUGACG
Polistes dominula (European paper wasp) is the source of this 1182-nucleotide RNA transcript. It is a transcript of the gene named small ribonucleoprotein particle protein SmB, with no coding region annotated. Lineage: Eukaryota; Metazoa; Arthropoda; Insecta; Hymenoptera; Vespidae. The record is from RefSeq and is a predicted model, not a curated record.